Molecule: long non-coding RNA, 416 nt
Organism: Gorilla gorilla gorilla (western lowland gorilla)
Lineage: Eukaryota; Metazoa; Chordata; Mammalia; Primates; Hominidae
Exons: 3
Source: RefSeq, a predicted model, not a curated record
CCAGGUUUGUUUGUGUGCCAUGGCAGUUUGGUAUCUCCAGAGCGACUGAGUCCAGUAACUCGAUGCAACAGAGUCCGAUCUUUCAAUCCAGAAUGCCAACUGAUUAAUAUGUUCUAUUCGAUGGAUGUGCAGUUAUGUACUGCAUUGGUUGUUCUUUGUGGAGGAGACGAGUGCCAGGCACCUUUAUUCAGCCAUAUUGAAGCCCCUCCCAUCCAUUAAUACUAUGCAAGAUGCAAAAUUCUUAAAUGUUUUAAAUGAAGGCCGAAGAGAACCAGUAAAGGAAGAUUUAAAGUAUGAAGGAGCAAUAAUAUGCCCCCACCAAUGUCUUUUCCUACUAAACUCAUCAAAACAAGUCACAGAGAAGCAAUGGGCAAAAUGUAUUCACUUUUUAAAAAUCUUCACUUAAUACAUGGUUU